RNAcentral lists this ribosomal RNA (714 nucleotides) under Tintinnopsis buetschlii. RNAcentral describes it as "LSU rRNA". It matches the Rfam family "Eukaryotic large subunit ribosomal RNA", at positions 70 to 834 of the family's 3401-position model. Lineage: Eukaryota; Ciliophora; Spirotrichea; Tintinnida; Codonellidae. The record is from RNAcentral.
AAGGAUUCCCUCAGUACGGGCGACGGAAGCGGGAAAAGCCCACAUUGGUAAUCUCCAGGUUUCACCUGGCGAAUUGUAAUCUGAAGAUUGUUAGCCCACCUGGAUAACGCGUCGAAAUGCGUGCGAGCGCGCUGCCAAAGAGGGUGAGAGCCCCGUAAGGUGCGUUGUCCUAACGGUGCUGGCGGUCGAAGAGUCGUGUACUUUGAUACUAGUGCACUAAGCGGGAGAUAAACUUCUUCUAAGGCUAAAUAUAAGUAGGAAACCGAUAGCGAACAAGUACUGUGAAGGAAAGAUGAAAAGCACUUUGAAGAGAAAGUUAAAAGACUUGAAAUCGUUGAGGCGGACCCGGUAGAAAUGUAUUCUAGCGAAGCGCCCUGGGAAGCCUGUAUUCGGGCCACUCGGGCGCUAGCCGAGACAAGAUGGAGUCGCGCGAUGCCAGAGGCGGUGCAGGAGCUUGCUUGCAGGAGCCUGUGCUUGUUGGGUGUCACGCGGCUUGAGGGGCCUUGCGCGAUCUUGUCAAAAUGGUUUUUACCGACUCGUCUUGAAACACGAACCAAGGAGUCUAAGACUAACGCGAGUGUGGUGGUGGAGAAACCAACACGCGAAAUGAAAGUAAAUGAUGCCAAGCACCCUGCAGCAUCGACCGACUUUUUUCUUCUGGAAGAGGUUUGAGUAAGAGCGUUAUUCUUAGGACCCGAAAGAUGGUGAAACUAU